This 464-nucleotide ribosomal RNA is filed under the name uncultured Klebsiella sp. RNAcentral's name for it is "bacterial SSU rRNA". It matches the Rfam family "Bacterial small subunit ribosomal RNA", at positions 338 to 795 of the family's 1533-position model. Lineage: Bacteria; Pseudomonadati; Pseudomonadota; Gammaproteobacteria; Enterobacterales; Enterobacteriaceae. The record is from RNAcentral.
CCUACGGGGGGCUGCAGUGGGGAAUAUUGCACAAUGGGCGCAAGCCUGAUGCAGCCAUGCCGCGUGUGUGAAGAAGGCCUUCGGGUUGUAAAGCACUUUCAGCGGGGAGGAAGGCGGUGAGGUUAAUAACCUCAUCGAUUGACGUUACCCGCAGAAGAAGCACCGGCUAACUCCGUCCCAGUAGCCGCGGUAAUACGGAGGGUGCAAGCGUUAAUCGGAAUUACUGGGCGUAAAGCGCACGCAGGCGGUCUGUCAAGUCGGAUGUGAAAUCCCCGGGCUCAACCUGGGAACUGCAUUCGAAACUGGCAGGCUAGAGUCUUGUAGAGGGGGGUAGAAUUCCAGGUGUAGCGGUGAAAUGCGUAGAGAUCUGGAGGAAUACCGGUGGCGAAGGCGGCCCCCUGGACAAAGACUGACGCUCAGGUGCGAAAGCGUGGGGAGCAAACAGGAUUAAUACCCUUGUAGUC